This 253-nucleotide ribosomal RNA is filed under the name uncultured bacterium. RNAcentral's name for it is "partial 16S ribosomal RNA". It matches the Rfam family "Bacterial small subunit ribosomal RNA", at positions 524 to 776 of the family's 1533-position model. The record is from RNAcentral.
UACGGAGGGGGCUAGCGUUGUUCGGAAUUACUGGGCGUAAAGGGCGCGUAGGCGGCCCGCUAAGUCGAACGUGAAAUCCCCGAGCUCAACUCGGGAACUGCGUCCGAUACUGGCGGGCUUGAAUCCGGGAGAGGGAUGCGGAAUUCCAGGUGUAGCGGUGAAAUGCGUAGAUAUCUGGAGGAACACCGGUGGCGAAGGCGGCAUCCUGGACCGGCAUUGACGCUGAGGCGCGAAAGCUAGGGGAGCAAACGGG